Molecule: ribosomal RNA, 468 nt
Filed under: uncultured bacterium
Lineage: Bacteria
Description: partial 16S ribosomal RNA
Rfam family: Bacterial small subunit ribosomal RNA
Source: RNAcentral
GACGAACGCUGGCGGCGUGCUUAACACAUGCAAGUCGAACGGAAAGGCCCUGCUUUUGUGGGGUGCUCGAGUGGCGAACGGGUGAGUAACACGUGAGUAACCUGCCCUUGACUUUGGGAUAACUUCAGGAAACUGGGGCUAAUACCGGAUAGGAGCUCCUGCUGCAUGGUGGGGGUUGGAAAGUUUCGGCGGUUGGGGAUGGACUCGCGGCUUAUGAGCUUGUUGGUGGGGUAGUGGCUUACCAAGGCCUUGACGGGUAGCCGGCCCGAGAGGGUGACCGGCCACAUUGGGACUGAGAUACGGCCCAGACUCCUACGGGAGGCAGCAGAGGGGAAGAUUGCACAAUGGGCGGAAGCCUGAUGCAGCAACGCCGCGUGCGGGAUGACGGCCUUCGGGUUGUAAACCGCUUUCGCCUGUGACGAAGCGUGAGUGACGGUAAUGGGUAAAGAAGCACCGGCUAACUACGUG